Molecule: ribosomal RNA, 427 nt
Filed under: uncultured bacterium
Lineage: Bacteria
Description: partial 16S ribosomal RNA
Rfam family: Bacterial small subunit ribosomal RNA
Source: RNAcentral
UGGGGAAUAUUGGACAAUGGGCGAAAGCCUGAUCCAGCCAUGCCGCGUGUGUGAAGAAGGUCUUCGGAUUGUAAAGCACUUUAAGUUGGGAGGAAGGGCAUUAACCUAAUACGUUAGUGUUUUGACGUUACCGACAGAAUAAGCACCGGCUAACUCUGUGCCAGCAGCCGCGGUAAUACAGAGGGGGCAAGCGUUAAUCGGAAUUACUGGGCGUAAAGCGCGCGUAGGUGGUUUGUUAAGUUGGAUGUGAAAUCCCCGGGCUCAACCUGGGAACUGCAUUCAAAACUGACUGACUAGAGUAUGGUAGAGGGUGGUGGAAUUUCCUGUGUAGCGGUGAAAUGCGUAGAUAUAGGAAGGAACACCAGUGGCGUAGGCGACCACCUGGACUAAUACUGACACUGAGGUGCGAAAGCGUGGGGAGCAAACA